Molecule: ribosomal RNA, 170 nt
Filed under: uncultured bacterium
Lineage: Bacteria
Description: partial 16S ribosomal RNA
Rfam family: Bacterial small subunit ribosomal RNA
Source: RNAcentral
CCUACGGGAGGCAGCAGUAAGGAAUAUUGCACAACGGGCGCAAGCCUGAUGCAGCAACGCCGCGUGCCCGAGGACGGCCUUCGGGUUGUAAAGGGCUUUUCUGGCUGACGAGGAAGGACGGUAGGCCAGGAAUAAGCGUCGGCUAACUACGUGCCAGCAGCCGCGGUAAU